RNAcentral lists this ribosomal RNA (164 nucleotides) under Cronobacter dublinensis 582. RNAcentral's name for it is "Large Subunit Ribosomal RNA; lsuRNA; LSU rRNA". It matches the Rfam family "Bacterial large subunit ribosomal RNA", at positions 869 to 1030 of the family's 2925-position model. The record is from RNAcentral. Lineage: Bacteria; Pseudomonadati; Pseudomonadota; Gammaproteobacteria; Enterobacterales; Enterobacteriaceae.
UUUAGGUAGCGCCUCGUGAACUCAUCUUCGGGGGUAGAGCACUGUUUCGGCUAGGGGGCCAUCCCGGCUUACCAACCCGAUGCAAACUACGAAUACCGAAGAAUGUUAUCACGGGAGACACACGGCGGGUGCUAACGUCCGUCGUGAAGAGGGAAACAACCCAG